Molecule: long non-coding RNA, 349 nt
Organism: Oncorhynchus keta (chum salmon)
Lineage: Eukaryota; Metazoa; Chordata; Actinopteri; Salmoniformes; Salmonidae
Exons: 3
Source: RefSeq, a predicted model, not a curated record
UGUUACACUCGUUUUUGUUUACCAGAUAGCUUUGAAAGUGCUUUUUUAAAUUGGCGUCGCGCACUUAUUGCUACUUUUGUGUCAAUGUUAAGUGCGGUGUUAGCUAGCCACAACGAAAAGCUAGCCAACUAACUAUCUCUUUUUAUCCGCCAGAAGUUUGGUGAGCAAGCUCCACCGCAGCGCCUGACGAGAGAGGCCAUGAGAAACUACCUGAAGGAGAGGGGAGACCAGACCUUACUCAUACUACACGCUAAAGUGGCACAGAAGUCUUAUGGCAACGAGAAGAGGUCUGUAUGAGAGAGAGAACGAUAUUCAUGGUGUCUCUGUAUGAGAGAGAGAACGAUAUUCA